RNAcentral lists this transfer RNA (57 nucleotides) under Agama rueppelli. RNAcentral describes it as "tRNA-Ser". Lineage: Eukaryota; Metazoa; Chordata; Lepidosauria; Squamata; Agamidae. The record is from RNAcentral.
GAGAACGACAAAUGAACUGCUAAAUCACAACACCGAGCUCAACCCCUCGGACUUCUC